UGAGGAAUAUUGGUCAAUGGACGAGAGUCUGAACCAGCCAAGUCGCGUGAAGGAAGACGGCCCUACGGGUUGUAAACUUCUUUUGUAAGGGAAUAAAUAGUCUUACGCGCUAAGACGUUGCAGGUACCUUACGAAUAAGGAUCGGCUAACUCCGUGCCAGCAGCCGCGGUAAUACGGAGGAUCCGAGCGUUAUCCGGAUUUAUUGGGUUUAAAGGGUGCGCAGGCGGCAUGUUAAGUCGGCGGUGAAAUUUUGCAGCUCAACUGUAAAAGAGCCUUCGAAACUGGCAAGCUUGAGUGUGGAUGAAGUAGGCGGAAUUUGUGGUGUAGCGGUGAAAUGCAUAGAUAUCACAAAGAACACCGAUUGCGCAGGCAGCUUACUAAACCAUAACUGACGCUCAUGCACGAAGGCGUGGGGAUCAAACA
RNAcentral lists this ribosomal RNA (423 nucleotides) under uncultured Porphyromonadaceae bacterium. Its description in RNAcentral is "partial 16S ribosomal RNA". It matches the Rfam family "Bacterial small subunit ribosomal RNA", at positions 355 to 774 of the family's 1533-position model. Lineage: Bacteria; Pseudomonadati; Bacteroidota; Bacteroidia; Bacteroidales; Porphyromonadaceae. The record is from RNAcentral.